Molecule: ribosomal RNA, 381 nt
Filed under: uncultured bacterium
Lineage: Bacteria
Description: bacterial SSU rRNA
Rfam family: Bacterial small subunit ribosomal RNA
Source: RNAcentral
AUUGAACGCUGGCGGAAUGCUUUACACAUGCAAGUCGAACGAUGAGAUCUAGCUUGCUAGAUCGAUUAGUGGCGAACGGGUGAGUAAUGUAUCGGAACGUAUCCAAUAAUGGGGGAUAACUAAUCGAAAGGUUGGCUAAUACCGCAUACGCCUACGGGGAAAGGCAGGGGAUCUUCGGACCUUGCGUUAAUGGAGCGGCCGAUAUCUGAUUAGCUAGUUGGUGAGGUAAAAGCUCACCAAGGCGACGAUCAGUAGCUGGUCUGAGAGGACGACCAGCCACACUGGAACUGAGACACGGUCCAGACUCCUACGGGAGGCAGCAGUGGGGAAUUUUGGACAAUGGGCGAAAGCCUGAUCCAGCCAUUCCGCGUGAGUGAAGAA